GUCUAACCUUACAUGUGAAACCAUCCAAAACUACGUAGUUUUGUUAGAAUUCCUUCCAAACUUCAUCUCGCUCCAUCAGGUCACGUCAAAAUUGGGUUUCUGCUCUCCUUCUCAUGCUCUGCCCAAUCGAUCUUCAUCAGGUAAACCCUAACUCUUAAAGGCACAGAUCUCUCCGCUAUCAUCGUUGAUGCACUUCAGUAUCUCGAUGGAAUCAAACAGGUGUUCAGAGCUGAUAUACAUCCAGGUGCAAGAGGCUAUGAUGAGUUAAUCUCAACUUCGUGAAUCAGAAGCCAACAAGGAAUCAAUUGGAUAUAGACAAUUGGAGAACCAACUGGAGCAAAAGUCAACAGAACGGACCCAACUAAGGAAAGACACUUGCAGCAACAAGCUGCUGAUUUAUCAUGAUAUUAUCUCGUGCGGUUCACUCAGAGAGAAUUUAAUGUAACAAUUUAGUGACUAUGUAUUCUAUUUGUAAUUGUUACUAGUAAUUAAUGUAAUUAUACAGUUUGUAAGUUCGUUUGACAUGUUUUAUAAUAACUUAAUGAAUUUUGACAUGUUUAAUAU
This 564-nucleotide long non-coding RNA is filed under the name Helianthus annuus (common sunflower). RNAcentral describes it as "sRNA HanXRQr2_Chr06g0261301". The record is from RNAcentral. Lineage: Eukaryota; Viridiplantae; Streptophyta; Magnoliopsida; Asterales; Asteraceae.